UGGGGCGUAGCCAAGCGGUAAGGCAUCGGUUUUUGGUACCGACAAUCCCAGGUUCGAAUCCUGGCGCCCCAGCCA
This 75-nucleotide transfer RNA is filed under the name Mesorhizobium prunaredense. RNAcentral's name for it is "tRNA-Gln". It matches the Rfam family "tRNA". Rfam says of the family: Transfer RNA (tRNA) molecules are approximately 80 nucleotides in length. Their secondary structure includes four short double-helical elements and three loops (D, anti-codon, and T loops). Further hydrogen bonds mediate the characteristic L-shaped molecular structure. tRNAs have two regions of fundamental functional importance: the anti-codon, which is responsible for specific mRNA codon recognition, and the 3' end, to which the tRNAs corresponding amino acid is attached (by aminoacyl-tRNA synthetases). tRNAs cope with the degeneracy of the genetic code in two manners: having more than one tRNA (with a specific anti-codon) for a particular amino acid; and 'wobble' base-pairing, i.e. permitting non-standard base-pairing at the 3rd anti-codon position. Lineage: Bacteria; Pseudomonadati; Pseudomonadota; Alphaproteobacteria; Hyphomicrobiales; Phyllobacteriaceae. The record is from RNAcentral.